RNAcentral lists this ribosomal RNA (485 nucleotides) under uncultured bacterium. Its description in RNAcentral is "partial 16S ribosomal RNA". It matches the Rfam family "Bacterial small subunit ribosomal RNA", at positions 29 to 506 of the family's 1533-position model. The record is from RNAcentral.
AUUGAACGCUGGCGGCAUGCCUUACACAUGCAAGUCGAACGGCAGCACGGGUGCUUUCACCUGGUGGCGAGUGGCGAACGGGUGAGUAAUACAUCUGAACAUGUCCUGUAUUGGGGGAUAGCCCGGUGAAAGCCGCAUUAAUACUGCAUACGAUUUACGGAUGAAAGCGGGGUACCUUGUGGCCUCGCGCUUUAGGGUUGGCCGAAGGGGGAUUAGCUCGUGGGUGGGGUAAAGGCCAACAAAGGCGAUGAUCAGUAGCGGGUCUGAGAGGACGACCAGCAACAUGGGACUUGAGAACGGGCCCGACCCCUUAGGGAAGGCACAGUAGGGGAAUUUCGGAAAUGGGGCGAAGGCCUGCGCAAGCAAGGCGGGGUGUGUGAAGAAGGCCUUCGGGUUGUAAAGCACUUUUGUAGGGAAAGAAAACCUUGGCCCUAAUACGGUCGGGGGAGAACGGAACCGGAAGAAUAAGCACCGGUAAACUCCGU